ACGCUCGACACCUACGGGAGUCAGCAGUGGGGAAUAUUGCACAAUGGGGGAAACCCUGAUGCAGCGACGCCGCGUGGAGGAAGAAGGUCUUCGGAUUGUAAACUCCUGUUGUUGGGGAAAAAGAGGAUGGUACCCAACAAGGAAGUGACGGCUAACUACGUGCCGGCAGCCGCGGUAAUCUGAGCGGGCUGGCAAGGC
RNAcentral lists this ribosomal RNA (198 nucleotides) under uncultured bacterium. RNAcentral's name for it is "partial 16S ribosomal RNA". It matches the Rfam family "Bacterial small subunit ribosomal RNA", at positions 328 to 539 of the family's 1533-position model. The record is from RNAcentral.